GCUGUGAUGGCCGAGUGGUUAAGGCGUUGGACUCGAAAUCCAAUGGGGUUUCCCCGCGCAGGUUCGAACCCUGCUCUCAGCG
Molecule: transfer RNA, 82 nt
Filed under: Dallia pectoralis (Alaska blackfish)
Lineage: Eukaryota; Metazoa; Chordata; Actinopteri; Esociformes; Umbridae
Description: tRNA-Ser
Rfam family: tRNA
About the family: Transfer RNA (tRNA) molecules are approximately 80 nucleotides in length.
Source: RNAcentral